Molecule: unclassified non-coding RNA, 349 nt
Filed under: soil metagenome
Description: partial contains 5.8S ribosomal RNA, internal transcribed spacer 2, and large subunit ribosomal RNA
Rfam family: 5.8S ribosomal RNA (bases 1-120)
Source: RNAcentral
GAUGAAGAACGUAGCGAAAUGCGAUAAGUAAUGUGAAUUGCAGAAUUCAGUGAAUCAUCGAAUCUUUGAACGCACAUUGCGCCCGCCAGUAUUCUGGCGGGCAUGCCUGUCCGAGCGUCAUUUCAACCCUCGCGCCCAUCUGGGCUGCGGUGUUGGGGACCGGCCUGCCCCCCCGGGGCGCGCCGCCCCCCAAAUUCAGUGGCGGUCUCGCUGCAGCCUCCCUUGCGUAGUAGCACACCUCGCACCGGAGCGCAGCGCGGCCACGCCGUAAAACCCCCGACCCCCAUGAGUUUGACCUCGGAUCAGGUAGGAAUACCCGCUGAACUUAAGCAUAUCAAUAAGCGGAGGA